Molecule: long non-coding RNA, 768 nt
Organism: Drosophila sulfurigaster albostrigata
Lineage: Eukaryota; Metazoa; Arthropoda; Insecta; Diptera; Drosophilidae
Exons: 2
Source: RefSeq, a predicted model, not a curated record
CCAUGAGCUUUACACCAAACAAACAGCACAAAAAAAUUAAAUAAAAUGAGUAGCAAACUCAUUUUUAUUUUUAGUUGCAUCUUUUUUCAAUUGUCACUGCACAAGUGUUUUUCUAAUGCUUCACGCCUCCGCCUCACUCAUGCCUUCAGAUCCAUUUGCCAUUCGUUGUUGGCUAUUUAAAGGGACAGCCAGCUGGUGCAAACAAUUGCAUUGUCCGCAAGUCUGUUGCCAUGAACACAUCAGCUGCUAAUUUUCUGGCAUAUGUCGAGCAUCUCAUGGCCAUGGAACGUUCAGAAAGUGGACAAACUGCACUUGGCUCAAUUCGCAUCUGGUUUAACAAUAUUAGUGGGCUGACUCAGUGCGGCAAUUCAACUAAACAGUUGUGCUCGGCCAAUCAGACGGACACUCAGCAAGACAAGAAUUUCCAUUAUGGAUGGAAUUAUUUGCUGCAAAAGUUAACAAGUUAAGGCAAAAAUGUUAGCUCUAAAAUUACAAUAUUUAAAUGUGUUUCUAUAGCUUUUGCUUUUAAAAAAUUCUAUUAUUAAGCAUGACAUUUUCUUGAUAAAAUUAUUUACUUUAUUUUGCAUCCUGAUUUACAUUCUAAUUUAUAAUGAUUUGCUGUUAAACUUAGUAGCGAUUUUGCGGUAAUUUUGUGGCAAAGUGAUAGAUGAGAUCACCCAAAAAUGUUAGCAUUAAAAGUUCAUUAUUUAAAUUUGAAUUUGAUGGAUAACAAUAAUAAUAUUUAGUACUCAUUAAAUUAAUAAAACA